RNAcentral lists this ribosomal RNA (497 nucleotides) under uncultured bacterium. RNAcentral describes it as "partial 16S ribosomal RNA". It matches the Rfam family "Bacterial small subunit ribosomal RNA", at positions 28 to 507 of the family's 1533-position model. The record is from RNAcentral.
GAUGAACGCUGGCGGCGUGCCUAAUACAUGCAAGUCGAGCGAACGGACGAGAAGCUUGCUUCUCUGAUGUUAGCGGCGGACGGGUGAGUAACACGUGGAUAACCUACCUAUAAGACUGGGAUAACUUCGGGAAACCGGAGCUAAUACCGGAUAAUAUUUUGAACCGCAUGGUUCAAAAGUGAAAGACGGUCUUGCUGUCACUUAUAGAUGGAUCCGCGCUGCAUUAGCUAGUUGGUAAGGUAACGGCUUACCAAGGCAACGAUGCAUAGCCGACCUGAGAGGGUGAUCGGCCACACUGGAACUGAGACACGGUCCAGACUCCUACGGGAGGCAGCAGUAGGGAAUCUUCCGCAAUGGGCGAAAGCCUGCCGGAGCAACGCCGCGUGAGUGAUGAAGGUCUUCGGAUCGUAAAACUCUGUUAUUAGGAAAGAACAUAUGUGUAAGUAACUGUGCACAUCUUGACGGUACCUAAUCAGAAAGCCACGGCUAACUACGUG